Molecule: ribosomal RNA, 915 nt
Filed under: Bipolaris zeicola
Lineage: Eukaryota; Fungi; Ascomycota; Dothideomycetes; Pleosporales; Pleosporaceae
Description: LSU rRNA
Rfam family: Eukaryotic large subunit ribosomal RNA
Source: RNAcentral
UUAAGCAUAUCAAUAAGCGGAGGAAAAGAAACCAACAGGGAUUGCCCUAGUAACGGCGAGUGAAGCGGCAACAGCUCAAAUUUGAAAUCUGGCUCUUUCAGAGUCCGAGUUGUAAUUUGCAGAGGGCGCUUUGGCUUUGGCAGCGGUCCAAGUUCCUUGGAACAGGACGUCACAGAGGGUGAGAAUCCCGUACGUGGUCGCUAGCUAUUGCCGUGUAAAGCCCCUUCGACGAGUCGAGUUGUUUGGGAAUGCAGCUCUAAAUGGGAGGUAAAUUUCUUCUAAAGCUAAAUAUUGGCCAGAGACCGAUAGCGCACAAGUAGAGUGAUCGAAAGAUGAAAAGCACUUUGGAAAGAGAGUCAAACAGCACGUGAAAUUGUUGAAAGGGAAGCGCUUGCAGCCAGACUUGCUUGCAGUUGCUCAUCCGGGCUUUUGCCCGGUGCACUCUUCUGUAGGCAGGCCAGCAUCAGUUUGGGCGGUGGGAUAAAGGUCUCUGUCACGUACCUCUCUUCGGGGAGGCCUUAUAGGGGAGACGACAUACCACCAGCCUAGACUGAGGUCCGCGCAUCUGCUAGGAUGCUGGCGUAAUGGCUGUAAGCGGCCCGUCUUGAAACACGGACCAAGGAGUCUAACAUCUAUGCGAGUGUUUGGGUGUCAAGCCCGAGCGCGUAAUGAAAGUGAACGGAGGUGGGAACCCGCAAGGGUGCACCAUCGACCGAUCCUGAAGUUUACGGAAGGAUUUGAGUAAGAGCAUGGCUGUUGGGACCCGAAAGAUGGUGAACUAUGCUUGAAUAGGGUGAAGCCAGAGGAAACUCUGGUGGAGGCUCGCAGCGGUUCUGACGUGCAAAUCGAUCGUCAAAUUUGGGCAUAGGGGCGAAAGACUAAUCGAACUAUCUAGUAGCUGGUUCCUGCCGAAGU